Molecule: ribosomal RNA, 478 nt
Filed under: uncultured bacterium
Lineage: Bacteria
Description: partial 16S ribosomal RNA
Rfam family: Bacterial small subunit ribosomal RNA
Source: RNAcentral
GUCGAACGCUGGCGGCGUGCUUAACGCAUGCAAGUCGAACGGUAAGGCCCUUCGGGGUACACGAGUGGCGAACGGGUGAGUAACACGUGGGUGAUCUGCCCUGCACUUCGGGAUAAGCCUGGGAAACUGGGUCUAAUACCGGAUAGGACCACUGCCUGCAUGGGUGGUGGUGGAAAGCUUUUGCGGUGUGGGAUGGGCCCGCGGCCUAUCAGCUUGUUGGUGGGGUGAUGGCCUACCAAGGCGACGUCGGGUAGCCGGCCUGAGAGGGCGACCGGCCACACUGGGACUGAGAUACGGCCCAGACUCCUACGGGAGGCAGCAGUGGGGAAUAUUGCACAAUGGGCGCAAGCCUGAUGCAGCGACGCCGCGUGAGGGAUGACGGCCUUCGGGUUGUAAACCUCUUUCAGCACCGACGAAGCGCAAGUGACGGUAGGUGCAGAAGAAGGACCGGCCAACUACGUGCCAGCCGCCGCCGUAA